GUAUACCAGUAGUUAACUAGGAGGUGGUUCCUGUAUGAGUGUAGAGUUAGUAACACCAGUAUUAACUAGGAGGUGCUUCUCCCAGGUAAGAGCAGAUGCCUUGGGUCUUGAAAUGCCUCAGUGGUUGGAGUGAAGAGUUAGUAUACCAGUAGUUAACUAGGAGGUGGUUCCUGUAUGAGUGUAGAGUUAGUAACACCAGUAUUAACUAGGAGCUGGUUCUCCCAGGUAAGAGCAGAUGCCUUGGGUCUUGAAAUGCCUCAGUGGUUGGAGUGUAGAGUUAGUAUACCAGUAUUAACUAGGAGGUGCUUCUCCCAGGUAAGAGCAGAUGCCUUGGGUCUUGAAAUGCCUCAGUGGUUGGAGUGAAGAGUUAGUAUACCAGUAUUAACUAGGAGGUGCUUCUCCCAGGUAAGAGCAGAUGCCUUGGGUCUUGAAAUGCCUCAGUGGUUGGAGUGAAGAGUUAGUAACACCAGUAUUAACUAGGAGCUGGUUCUCCCAGGUAAGAGCAGAUGCCUUGGGUCUUGAAAUGCCUCAGUGGUUGGAGUGAAGAGUUAGUAUACCAGUAGUUAACUAGGAGGUGGUUCCUGUAUGAGUGUAGAGUUAGUAACACCAGUAUUAACUAGGAGGUGGUUCCUGUAUGAGUGUAGAGUUAGUAACACCAGUAUUAACUAGGAGCUAGUUCCUGUAUGAGUGUAGAGUUAGUAACACCAGUAGUUAACUAGGAGCUGGUUCUCCCAGGUAAGAGCAGAUGCCUUGGGUCUUGAAAUGCCUCAGUGGUUGGAGUGAAGAGUUAGUAUACCAGUAGUUAACUAGGAGGUGGUUCCUGUAUGAGUGUAGAGUUAGUAACACCAGUAUUAACUAGGAGGUGGUUCCUGUAUGAGUGUAGAGUUAGUAACACCAGUAUUAACUAGGAGCUGGUUCCUGUAUGAGUGUAGAGUUAGUAACACCAGUAUUAACUAUGAG
Non-coding RNA from Oncorhynchus mykiss (rainbow trout), 960 nucleotides. NCBI's taxonomy places the organism in Eukaryota, Metazoa, Chordata, Actinopteri, Salmoniformes, Salmonidae. The record is from RefSeq and is a predicted model, not a curated record.